UCCCUCUUCUCUUUUCCAAAUGAAUUUCCCCAAAUUGAAUCCCAAUCCCUAACUUCUCCAUUUUCCCCUUUCUUCUCGGCAAAUUUCACCGCUGCGCCGAUCGUCGCCGGUGUCACUGCUUCCAGCAAUUCAGCGCCGACGCGAGGAUCUAUGGAUGAGGUAACGCCGUCGGUCUGCCGUCGCUGUUGGUUCGAGACCUAGAAGUCGGUGCUCUGCCGUCAGUUUAGAGCCGCCAUCAUCGGCUCCUACCACUUGGUUCUAUCAGCCCUUGCUCCUCACUCGUCGGCUGCGAGGCUCCGUUUGUCCUUUGUGCUCACAACAGCGUCGGCUCUCUACCACUGCUUCUUGGUGAAAACAGAGUCGUCGCCACUGAUUGAAGCUACAACGAUGACGCCCCGUCUGUCGGGUUCGAGUUUGAGAGCCCCUUUCUCAUCCUCUGCUCCUGCUGAUGCCUUGCACGAGCAGCUACUGCUUCACCGAUGUCAAGUGUCAUUACUGCCCCGAUGAGUCCGUGUGGCUGCCUUCAUGGCCUCGCCGUCACCGGUAGUCAUUGGGCAGCCCUUCCGGCCCUAAAGCUAAGUUCUUUUUGCCUUAACACACUUAGUUUGAUUGAUUGUGAAUUUUGGGCAGUAGCUAUGUGGUGCUAAAGCUUUGUUCUUCGUUGGUAGUCAUGAUAAUUUAUUACUGAUCUUGGGCUAAAAGAAAUCAUAUGAUAUUUCUUGUUCCAAGUUGUGUGAUUUGGAAAUCCUAAAGCUUUUAAGUUCUUUUAGCAUGAGGUUCUAAUGUGAUGCAAGAUGGGAGUAUUUUGAUUACCUGUUGUGGAGCUAUGAAAAGUGUGGAUGAACUCCCCCUUUGCUGCUUAGUUCCCGGUCCUCACAGAACAGAAAUAUGCUGAAUUUUUGAUGUGGUGUAAGAGAAGAUUGAGGGUGGUAAGGAGGGGUCUUUAUAGGUGAUUUGGUAACUGCAAAAUCUGCAACUCUUAUCCUCUUGCAGGGACAUUUUUGUUGGUUGUGAGAGUGUACUCGUAUAUUCAGAUCUGGGCUGCCUUAUUCUUGUUUUAUCUUGCUGCCAUUUUAACUGCAUUUGGGUGUAUGUGGAGCUUAGUGCUUUAGCUAUUAAAUGACUUGGUUGCUGUGGAAGGUACUCAAGAAAGGGGCAAAGAUUGUUACUGCAGCUCUGCAGUUUGUUGCAGCUGGAAGGCAGACAUUGCAGGCUCAUUUGCCCCAUUGCAGCCUGCGGUUAAGGCUGGGAAAGGGCAGGGAUGGAAUAAGGACCCAUCAUGUCCGGCUGCCACCUUGAUGUUCUGAUCUCAACAGGCUGUCGAAGCCGGGCCGAAAUUCGGGCAUAAGGAAGAGGCCGAGACUUAGCAUUUCUACUUGUAAUAGAAUUGAGUCUUCUCUCUUGUUCUUUUCCAAGCUUUCUCUCCUUUCAAACAAAAUGUAUAGAAUUACUUCUAAAAUUUAGUGUGUAUCAUUCUUCUUCUAUUUUCAUCAAGCAUCUUGUAAACUUAUACUUAGCUUGGAAAUUCAAAAUACUAUGUUUUGAUUACUCAAGAACAUAAAUAAAUACUCUUUCAUCUUUCUUUCUUUAAA
Molecule: long non-coding RNA, 1592 nt
Organism: Salvia splendens (bonfire salvia)
Lineage: Eukaryota; Viridiplantae; Streptophyta; Magnoliopsida; Lamiales; Lamiaceae
Exons: 2
Source: RefSeq, a predicted model, not a curated record